Molecule: long non-coding RNA, 1269 nt
Filed under: Callithrix jacchus (white-tufted-ear marmoset)
Lineage: Eukaryota; Metazoa; Chordata; Mammalia; Primates; Cebidae
Description: lncRNA (ENSCJAG00000082433.1)
Source: RNAcentral
AAGAGGCUGUUCUCCCUCUGCAAGUGGACACAGAAGAGGUUGUUCUCCCUCUGCAAGUGGACACAGAAGACUGAGGUUGUUCUCCCUCUGCAAGUGGACACAGAAGACACAGGCUGUUCUCCCUCUGCAAGUGGACACAGAAGACACAGGCUGUUCUCCCUCUGCAAGUGGACGCAGAAGAGGUUGUUCUCCCUCUGCAAGUGGACACAGAAGACUGAGGUUGUUCUCCCUCUGCAAGUGGACACAGAAGACACAGGCUGUUCUCCCUCUGCAAGUGGACACAGAAGAGGCUGUUCUCCCUCUGCAAGUGGACACAGAAGACACAGGCUGUUCUCCCUCUGCAAGUGGACACAGAAGACACAGGCUGUUCUCCCUCUGCAAGUGGACACAGAAGACACAGGCUGUUCUCCCUCUGCAAGUGGACACAGAAGACACAGGCUGUUCUCCCUCUGCAAGUGGACACAGAAGACACAGGCUGUUCUCCCUCUGCAAGUGGACACAGAAGACACAGGCUGUUCUCCCUCUGCAAGUGGACACAGAAGACACAGGCUGUUCUCCCUCUGCAAGUGGACACAGAAGACACAGGCUGUUCUCCCUCUGCAAGUGGACGCAGAAGACACACUGUUCUCCCUCUGCAAGUGGACACAGAAGGCAGAGGCUGUUCUCCCUCUGCAAGUGGACACAGAAGACACAGGCUGUUCUCCCUCUGCAAGUGGACACAGAAGACACAGGCUGUUCUCCCGCUGCAAGUGGACACAGAAGACAGAGGCUGUUCUCCCUCUGCAAGUGGACACAGAAGACAGAGGCUGUUCUCCCUCUGCAAGUGGACACAGAAGACAGAGGCUGUUCUCCCUCUGCAAGUGGACACAGAAGACACAGGCUGUUCUCCCUCUGCAUGUGGACACAGAAGAGGCUGUUCUCCCUCUGCAAGUGGACACAGAAGACACAGGCUGUUCUCCCUCUGCAUGUGGACACAGAAGAGGCUGUUCUCCCUCUGCAAGUGGACACAGAAGAGGCUGUUCUCCCUCUGCAAGUGGACACAGAAGAAGUCACGUGAAGACUAGAAGGCGGCCGUACACAAGCCAGGGCAGGAGGCCUCACCAGAAACCAACCCGACAGCACGUUGACCUUGAACUUCUGGCUUCCAGAACUAUGGAAAGGUUCGUUUGUGUUCUGCAAGCCACCCACGGGAUGGUAUUUCACCACGGCAGCCCCUGUACACAGAGGGGUGACAGACAGAUGGAAAGCAACGGAUUAAUAAUGAAGUAG